GACGAACGCUGGCGGCGUGCUUAACACAUGCAAGUCGAACGGAAAGGCCCUGCUCUUGCUCGGUGCUCGAGUGGCGAACGGGUGAGUAACACGCGAGUAUCCUGCCCUUGUCUUUGGGAUAACUUCUGGAAACUGGGGCUAAUACCGGAUAUGAUCUCCUGCUCCAUGGUGGGGGUUGGAAAGAUUCGGCUGUUGGGGAUGGACUCGCUGCUUAUCCGCUUGUUGGUGGGGUAGUGGCUUACCAAGGCUUCGACGGGUAGCCGGCCUGGGAGGGGUACCGGCCACAUUGGGACUGAGAGACGGCCCAGAAUCCUACGGGAGGCAGCAGGGGGGAAUAUGACAGAAUGGGCGGAAGCCAGAUGCAGCAACGCCGCGAGCGGGAAGACGGCCUUCGGGUGAAAAACCGAUGUCGACGGUAACGAGGCGUGAGUGACGGUAAUGGGUAAGGAAGCACCGGCUAACUACGUG
RNAcentral lists this ribosomal RNA (468 nucleotides) under uncultured bacterium. RNAcentral's name for it is "partial 16S ribosomal RNA". It matches the Rfam family "Bacterial small subunit ribosomal RNA", at positions 28 to 507 of the family's 1533-position model. The record is from RNAcentral.